Molecule: long non-coding RNA, 916 nt
Filed under: Vigna radiata
Lineage: Eukaryota; Viridiplantae; Streptophyta; Magnoliopsida; Fabales; Fabaceae
Description: long non-coding RNA (VRAD_LNC000374)
Source: RNAcentral
ACAACCAGAACCAACCACUCUCACCGCCUGUGCUUUUUCCUCCCUCUCUGUUUGAGGGUUUUCUUUCCUCCUUCUCCGGUCGCCACUGCAGCCUUAGCCAGCCGCGUGCACCACUGCCCUCCACCGAGAUCUCGCCCCUUUUCACGUGUGAGAGGAGAACGCACACCUUCCACUUAGAGUUCUUGCCACCGCUGCCUCCACCUAAGAAGGUCGUCGCGAGUUGCGGCGGAGAUGCUUCCUCACCGGCGCCCCUAGCGCCGUUCUCCUCCCUCUCCGUUCGAGGGUUCCCCAGCGCCGUUCUCCUCCCUCUCCGUUCGAGGGUUCCCCAGCGCUGUUCUCCUCCCUCUCCGUUCGAGGGUUUUCUUUCCUUUCCCUUAAACGCCAGCGCCUCCANCAGCACCANCGCCGAUGUCGNGGACGAAAAUGAUUUUUUUUUGCUUUAUUGGUUAAUUCAUCUAUCAAUUGAUGUUUUGUUUACUGGGAUUGGAAACAUUGGAGUGUGUGUUGGGUGCUAGAAAUUGGUCUUUGUUCUUGGUGAUUAGUUUUUAUUUCUGUUGCCUUGUGCAGUGCAGGUUGAGGAUGGUGGUGUUAUGCUUAAGCUGGGAUGGAGGUUCAAAUGAAGAUGAAGAUACUGGUUAUAUUUUUUUGUUGUGUUUUCCUGAUAAGUAUCUAGCUUAACAGCAAAGGGGGUGGUGAUGAUGGGUAAGAAAGUAGGCUCUUCUCUUGGCCGGCCUCUCUUUUGUUUCUUUCUUUUCCGAUAUAUUGAGUACGCCUCCUCCAGGAAUGGGAUGAAGGUGACUCUUGAUGGAAGUGUGAAUUGUUACGGUGACUCUCAAAUGUUAAUGGAGGAUGCAGAUGGUUCAAAAGAUGAGAAUGCAGAUGUUGUUGAAUGGAGAAUGGCGAUGUUGAAUUUUGU